Molecule: long non-coding RNA, 8881 nt
Organism: Asterias rubens (European starfish)
Lineage: Eukaryota; Metazoa; Echinodermata; Asteroidea; Forcipulatida; Asteriidae
Exons: 3
Source: RefSeq, a predicted model, not a curated record
CGACUGAGAGAAAAUAAGCGAAAACAGAUUGACUUUUCAACAUUCAACAAACAAGCAACAUGUGACAGCAAGUUGAAGAUGUAUAGAAGCAUCACAACAAUGUACUCUUUGUCACUAUUGGACUCGGAUAAAUUCCGAACAUCUACUGCUACUUGUGAACUGAUCAAACCACGGAGGAUUGCAUCAAGGUGGUAGAUUCUCAAUGAUGGCCAAAAUGAACUGGUCUUAACACAAACCCAGAAGAAUCACAUAAUCAAGAAAGAUGCGCUGCUUGAGGAGAUUAACAUUGAUUCUACAAGGAGUUUCUGAAGAGUGAAUCAUCAUCAACCCAUGGUGCAAGAUUCUACGCCAAGCUGGAGGAGACCGACAUUGCAGCAAUGACUCUGUGAACAAUGUGGACUUGAAUUAAACCCAAACUCACUGUUGGCUUUGAGAUGCAGCUCUAAUGCAUCUCUUAGCAUUGAGACACUAUCAACCUAUGGUGCAAGAUUCUACGCCAAGCUGGAGGAGACCGACAUUGCAGCAAUGACUCUGUGAACAAUGUGGACUUGAAUUAAACCCAAACUCACUGUUGGCUUUGAGAUGCAGCUCUAAUGCAUCUCUUAGCAUUGAGACACUAUCAACCCAUGGUGCAAGAUUCUACGCCAAGCUGGAGGAGACCGACAUUGCAGCAAUGACUCUGUGAACAAUGUGGACUUGAAUUAAACCCAAACUCACUGUUGGCUUUGAGAUGCAGCUCUAAUGCAUCUCUUAGCAUUGAGACACUAUCAACCCAUGGUGCAAGAUUCUACGCCAAGCUGGAGGAGACCGACAAUGCAGCAAUGACUCUGUGAACAAUGUGGACUUGAAUUAAACCCAAGCUCACUGUUGACUUUGAGAUGCAGCUCUAAUGCAUCUCUUAGCAUUGAGACACUAUCAACCCAUGGUGCAAGAUUCUACGCCAAGCUGGAGGAGACCGACAAUGCAGCAAUGACUCUGUGAACAAUGUGGACUUGAAUUAAACCCAAGCUCACUGUUGACUUUGAGAUGCAGCUUUAAUGCUACAUCUCUGAACAGUGAAACACUAUCAACCCAUGGUGCAAUAUUCUACGCCAAGCUGGAGGAGACCGACAAUGCAGCAAUGACUCUGUGAACAUUUUGGACUUGAACUAAACCCAAACUCACUGUUUGCUUUGAGAUGCAGCUCUAAGGCUACAUCUCAAAGCCUGGAUUGGAGACAGAAUUCCUAAACACUCUUUGAACUCUUGAGAUACAAAUGAGAUGAGAAAGAUACAUCAGUGUGGCAAGGCUGGAGGACAUUAUUUUAUGAGCCCACUUUGAAACCUUAAUGUGAUCAACAUACAAGGACUAGAGCGUUUGUAUAGUAUCUAGAAACAAAAGAAGAAAUGUCUAUAUUCAAAUAUAACAAUCCCUAGAGUAGCCUGGAGAACACCUUCAGUAUUCGCUUUUUUAAUUAUCGUCACCGUUUUCAUGAACAGACAAAUUUGAUAACUUACAGAUUUUGAUGAUUUUGGUCAGACACCAACAUUUUCCGCUAGCUUUUUAAGUCAUAAAAUUUCAAAUUUUUGUACACAAGAAGCACAGAGAUAAAAUCACCAGAAAUAGUUUUGAGUCUGUUUUACGAAUGUGCAAUUUUUAUAUGUACAUGUGUACAUGUGUACAUGCUUAUAUUGCUCGUGCCAUGCCAAAAAAUGAGUGCCUGAAUUUUUCAAAAAGAAAUAGUAUGUGUAAUCUUUGUGACAAGUUAACAGUUUUCUAAAACAGCCUUGUUUGUUCAGCUUCUUGAAGAGACAAUCUUGUCUAUGAUGAAAUCAUCCUACAAAAAAAUUAAAAUCUCCACUUUCAUGUUUAGUCAAAGUACCAAAGGAAAAUUGACUAACAGUCUUCCAAACCAAUAGUUGUUAAAAACUUUUAAUUUCAGUUUGCUUCUUUUAUUAUGAAAGUUUCGGUGCAGGGGCUAAAAUGUCGCUUUGUGAAAACGGUGACCGUUAUCUUUAAGUAAAACUGUAGCAUUCAGGUAUAGUCAUCUGUUCAUGCAUGAACCAAUACAGGAUUAGUGUAGUACAAGGGAUUGAACAAGGAGACAUGGUAUUACUAUUAAUUUUUAAACUUUUAUUCCUAUAAACAAUUAGUGUGCUUAAAGAAAACUAUUCUGUAAUAGAUAGCAUUGCCCUUAAACCCAACAGGGGCACUAAAUGUAAAAAGUGUAGGACUACAACCGAAUAGUAAUACCAAAUAGGUUGUCAAUAGUUUGUCCUUAGACCACCAAGAGUGCUAAAUGAGAUAGGACCAUUUCUAAAUAGGUUGUCAACAGCUUAUCACAAAAACCAUCUAUAGCACUGAAUGAUAUAGUAAAAAGUAUAUAUUUGCUGACCAGGUUAGCAACAGUUUCUCCAUAAAUUGAAUGGGACUAAAACAAAAGGUGCAUCUGAAUAUAUUUCAACCUUAAACCACCAAAAGUGCUAAAGGUGAUUGGACUAAAUCAAACAGUAUUUCUUGGCGGCACUACAGUCGGCUAGUUUACUAAACAGGUGAGAUUAGGGAAAAUGCUUUCUGUAUAAGUACAUGUACUUUAUCAACUCUCCCUAACAUUAAGUGUACACCAUGUAUAUUUUUUUGGCAAACAAUAAGUGAUACUAAGUCAUUGUUAAUUCACAUUUAAAGUUUUCAAGUUGUCUAAUAAUUAUGACUAUUAAUUAACAGUCAUGACAGGAACAUAAGCAGAAACUGUACGAUAACUCAACCCUGGUUCUUCAAAUCACAGCCAACACUUCUCAUGAAAGAGAUUGAAUUCAUUUGGUUCAUAUUCAUCAUUUUUAUUAAACUUCUUCAUGUUCAGUGUACCAUGCAAAGACUUAAAACUUACUUAAUGGGGCAGACAGUUCAAGUUCAAAAGUAUUUCAAGUUUAGUGUAGUGUUUCACAGGACUUCAACCAAUGUUAGUAUUCAUAACUUGAAAGACAUACAAUAUGACAGCACAGAAGUUACUUUUCAAUAAUGUUGUAGGAUUUGACCUAAAAGCUAAAGUGUAUCUCAGUUAAUUUAGCACAGAGGAAUUCAUGCAUGAACAGAGAAGUAAUAGUAUUUUUUGUUUUAAGUAAUGCAAUGAACAGCCUCUCACAGAAACCCAAACUUUUAGAAAUUAAGUUACUGAAACAAAGGCAAUGUCGAGCAAAAAUUUGACUACCAAAUAAAACAAAUUAUUAUGAUGACACUUUGGUACAGUGUGUGGUAACGAGAGUAUUUGAAUACUCUGUCCAAAACUAACAAGCGAUCAGUCGAUUGGAUUCAGCUUUUUAAUUUAGCAUUGUUGUGUAUAAACAAAUGGUUUUUUUCGUAACUCAUUCAAACUUCAUGAGAAAUCCCCCAAGUUACAAGCUUUCUGUGAGGGGCUGGUCUGUCUUAAACAUUGUAAGCUAAUUUAAUUAGUAAGUUAGAGUGUGGAGGGUGAGUCUAUAAGUUCUGUUGGUAAGAUGGCUACAAGAUUGGUUAUAACUAUACUUCUGAACUCAAAACCGUCGGACUCAAAAAGUCAAAACAUUUGAUGGUACAACACAUUGGCUGGCACAGCUGAUGAAAUUGUUGUCCCUGCUACUGUUUUUUUUUUUCACUUCUUUAUUUUUACAAAGACUCUCAAAGAGACCUUGCAAAAGACAAAAACAAACGUUUCACUUUGAUUUUUCUUUUCCAGCAGCAUGGACGAAUUGUCUUCAAAAGCUGACGUCUUAAUUCUGGAUCUUCCUUUAAAUUUUUGAAAUCAGUAACAAUGUGUUGAUUUCACCUUAACAAAUUUUCAGUCAAAGAUAUUAUGUUGCUAGUCGAAAUUUUGCAGUUUUUAUAUUAUACCAAAAGUAUACCAUAUGCAAGCCAUCCUGUACAGGAAAAGAUUCCACCAAUUUUACACUUAACUGGUGUGCUUGUUAUGCAUUGAUGUGUAUGGGGGCCAAGUGGCUCUCUAAACUAAGCUUACGAGACAAAAUCUCAGUUUAAAAAACUUGCGUUGCAGUUCAUUCACAUGUACUUUUAAAAAUUGAAACUCAUUAUGAAGUGCUGUAUAUUAGCCAAUCUUGUACACCAAAAUCUGAAAUUUUAGCAGCAUUGACAAAUUGUCUCCAAAAGCUGAAAUCUGAAUUCUGGAUCUUCCUUUUACAUUUCAAAGUCAAAAAUUACAAAUUAUUUAUUUUGCCCAUCUUUUCAAUGUACAAUCCUGUUACUAAUGAAAAGUUAUUUUGUAAUUACCAACAGCUCAUGAAUGUACCCCUCCCCUUUUUGCACCCCGGUGCAUGCAAGCCAUCCUGGUGCUUGCGCGAGUGUUCCCCGCCCGCAGGUGUCGGCAGGCUGGUUGGUGAGUUGUCCUCUGAAUGCACUUGAAGGUGUUUGGCUGUUUGUGAUGUGUCAACCUUCCCAAUACUUGGCGGUCUGGAUGAAUCAGAGACCCACAGUUGACUGCAACAUGGUAAGGAUCCUUUGAUCUAUGAUAAUUAAUUUUCUUUCCACAGAGGAUGAUGUAUCCAUCUUCAACUCCAGGCAUUGUAUAUGGAAGAAAUGCCUUCAAGUCUACUCUGAACUCUACAUUUCAUGAUUUGCACCAUGGUAUUUUGAUCCAUUAGAAUGGAAUAUCUACAAAUGUACAAUUUUGCCAAGUAUUUCUGAGAUGUUUGCCAUACAUAGGGUUUUUGGUCACGAUGUCUAAACCAACCAAUCAUUAAUUUGUUGAACGAGCACUAUCUAAACCACUCUCUGCCUUGCGUUAAACCAAAUCAAGUUUGUAUAAAAAAAAUAUUUUUGGAAACAAAUAAUAAAUUCUAUUCUAAGUCAAUCAAUUAAGAAAAAACAAAUUCAUCAGCACAAACAAUGAAUAACGGCUUUUCCAAUCAAUGAAGUAAAAUUAACCAACAGAUAAAAACCUUUACAACAGUAUGUUAAAUUCUCAAAGAUAAUCUGAAAAUCCACAGAAUAAAAACCAACCUAAUGACAAAAUACAAAAAAUGGAAGUAAUAAACAAACAAGAUGCAAAGAAAUGUUAAAUAAGAUUUGAAAAGGUUGCCAUUUCACCAAUAGCACAAAGAAAAUGCUACUACUUAUAAAAAUUUACGUUCACUCUCAAAAUGUACAAUCUGCCAAAUUGCAGUUUGUUAGAAAUAAAAAUCUUUGAGACAAAACCAUACUCACUAAAAAUGAGUAACAUCUGAACUGAUGUUUUUGCAACAUUUGUCCAAAUUGUCUCUUACUGAAAAGACAAAUCUAGGUUCUGUGAAAAAAAUUGUCCAAAUGAUGUAAAAAAGAAUCUUAAAAUACAGCUGGAUACUUCACAGUAUCUUGAUAUGAAGCAAACCAUUUUCUUACAACAGAAAAAAAAGUGUUGAUACAAGUUGUUUGAAAAAUGCAAAAAUCAAAACAGAACUGCACUAAAGGUAGUUUUAAAAUCUAUUUCAUUAUAAAAGCAGGCCAAAAAAAAAAACAUCAAAGAUGGAGAACUUAAAAUGAGUUUGAUUCUACCCUGCAUGUCAAUGCACUGCUUACAAAUAAACAAACUUUCCUAUUAAAGUGGCUUGCCUUGGAUAACAAUCCAUUUGCAUAGUAAACAUUUUUAACUUGUAACUCCAAAAAGUAUUGGGCAGAAACAAAAACAAAUUUAAAAAGUAUUUUUAACUUAAAAAUACUGAACUUGUACUUGCCAAAAUUUGAGAUUUUUGUCCCAGAUCGACAUGAAUAAUCAUGGUAGUUCCCGGCCAAACUGUAAAAUCAUGGUAGUUCCUGGCCAAACCAUUAAAUUCAUGGUAGUUCUUGGCCAAACUGUGGAACAGAUCCCAACACUGGGAAAACAUGGGGUGCCAAACUCUUUAAACUGCUCUAAAAAUGAAAGCCUGGGGUGCAAACGGAAAAGCACCAUACUGUAAAUUAGGGCUGUACAUGGGCAAUGUGGUGGGUCCCUCAGUUUCGACGGUAAAACUGUGGUGUCGACACAGGGGUCCCAGUCCUGUUAGAUAGGUCCAUGGUAACUUUAAUUGAAGUAGGAAUUCAUGUACUGUAACUAUACAUCCUCAGCCAUGCACUGAUAGUCUUCAAUCAAAGGCAAUACCAAGCAUGUUAGGGUUGAAUAUCAAUCAAGGCAUUGACCAAGGUCUUAGGGUUUGAAAUGGAGACAGGUUGUCUUCAGACCUGUGUGUUUCCAUAGAAAUGAGAAACACUACUCUGUGCCUGCAAUGAUCUAAAAUUGAUCCAGUUUUAAAUGGUCUCUACUUUGAAUAUGGAAGUUUUCCCCAAAAAGAAAUAUGGCACUUGCUGUAAAAAUCCCUGAACUCAGUCAUUGCAGUGACCAAUCAACCAACCAAGAUGGCCACAGGUCAUGUGGCAUAUCUUUUAGGCCAACCAUUUGCUGAUGAUUCAUGAAAUGACAUUCCUGAAAUAUCCCUGAUGGGUACAGUGAAGCUAUCAUCAGGUAUCUCAGCCCCUCCUAAUGCCCACAACAGUGGGUUACAAGAAUAAUCACCAAUGUAAUAAUGCAGGCACAGUCCAUCUAGAUACCCUUACUGGGUUAAGAUACAUUGCAGUUGCAGAUUAAGUCAUACAGACACUGCCCUCAAUGAUACCCAUAUCCUGGGUGGAGAGGGGCUUCAAGAUACUGUCAGAUCUAACAAGAGAAAUUGGACAUAAACUUCAUCAAAUGAAGCAAUGCAUCACGAGGCAUUUAUGCCCAAAGUAUUAAACACAAGUAAACCUGCACAUGAAUGUACACAUGAAGACACUUUGACGCCUUGAAAGUGGAACAGAAACACCUCAUGGAGAGGUUUCUUUAUUUGAAUGGUCAAUGCCUUGAUUGAAUUUUACUAAUUCUAGGAAACCAGAAACUUUUAACCCAGGCUUGGGGUAUUCAGAUGAUUCAUGUUUAAGUAUUAGUAUUUACGUCAGAACCAAAAAUAGUGGUGAGCUAUUCAUCACUGUUGUCAAUCGACCAGUGAAGGGUUUGAAGAAACCUUAAGGAAAAUUUUUUUUGCAACUCAAACAAUGAGUAGGAAAUUUAAAACCCUUGGUAUGACACUAAAAAAUAUCCACUAAUUAUGUAAUUGACAAAAGCAAUUUAUGUAGUCAAUCAUACAAUCGGUUUAGAAACAGUGUUUAUUACCAAACUUGUUGGUAAUAUUUAACUUUCUUACAUUACCCCAAGCCUGGUUGACCUCAACUUAAAAGUAGGGCUGUACAUUGUACAAUUAUAGUCUUGACAGUUCUUCACAAUUGAAUGAGAAUUAGUUGACCUUCCCAUUUGUGCUUAAUAAGGUAAAUUAAUGCAGUUAUCUUUAGCUAAAGUUUAGAUACCUUGAGUAUGAAGAGAAAUAUGUGGAGUCACAAAUCUACCUGCCCUCAUCAUGAUGUGAUGCUCUAGGUAACUCACUGAGCCGGUGAACACUUCUCUAAAUUGUCUCUGUGGCAACUACAUGUAAGUUAUUGCCUUCCAGUUGACACUUACAAUGUAGAAGCAAUUGGUAAUGUGAUGUCCUGCAUAACUAAAAACCCAGGAUAAGCUGAUCAUCACAACCCGUCUAUGGGAAAUCAAAUCCCUACAUUUUAUGAUAUGAAUCAAUAUCAGACAGCAUUUUGAUCAUUAGUUAGAUCACAAUUAAUGCCAGUAAAGCACAGCAAGCUUGACUUUGAAUUUGUGGCCCUUGUAGAUAUUGUGAAGAACUUUCAGGACAUGUUCUUACUCAACCUUGCUUGGUAUUGCCAAACCUCGUUCCCAACAACUAGUCCAAAAUGAACAAGUUGUUAUUUGUUUGUUCCUUUAAGGAAACUUGGUAAUCUCUUAGACACAAAUGAAGGGUUCACCCAUAAUGAAGUACCUCACACACUCACUAUUUUUAGUUCCCAUUUUUUCCUUCAUUCACCUACAACUUACCCCCCCCCCCUCCAUUUUGCAAACGAAUGUAUAGUGUGACAAAGUUGUCCUCACUGUUCGGUGUCAGGCGAACUGAUAUACAUGUACAACAAACAUCCACCGAUAGCCCCUAAUGGGCAAAGUGAUAUACAGACGGUGGUUAAAACCAGCUCCUAUUAAUCCACACACUACACGUACAUCCACCACUAGACCCAAUUAGGGGCAACAUACAUAUAGCCCCUGUUUGGGCAACCUACAGCCUACAGUUAGCCCCGUUUUGGGCAAUCGAUAACUUACAAGUCUGUGUCGGGCAACCAACUACCUACAAAUAGCCCCUGUGGACCAGCCUACAACUAGCCCUGGCAUGAUGUUAAAACAAAGCUAAAACUAGCCCCUAUUGGGCAGUCAACAACCUGCAACCAGCCCCUUUGGUAAACCCUAAUGCCUACAACUAGUAUAGCACCUAUUGGAAAACCAACAACUUACAAAUAGCACUGUCAGGCACCCAACAAUGCCUACUACUAGCCCCCGAUUGGACAACCAAUGACCUACAACUACAGGUAGCCCCUAUUGGACAAUCAUGAACCUAUACAACUAACCCCUGUUGGGCAACGAACAAUGCCACUUUCCCCUGUUGGGCAACCAACAAUACCUCACUUGCCCCAGUCGGGCAACCAGUAACCUACAACUAGCCCCAGUUGGGAAAAGUGUUCAAUAGACAGUCGUUGACCCCCCUUUUUUUUCACCAACUAUACACCAACUACCAGUUAUUCAGUUAUCCCCCAAAAAUGUACCCUUAUAUGGGUAAAGUGAUUGAUCAGCAAAAGCAAUCACUACUAUCAAUAUUGUUGACCACUCAAAUAGUUCCAUGUUAUAGUGAGAUACAGUGGGAUGGUAGGAUUACCAUGGGAACGAGGUAAUUAACAUUGACCUGUCGCCAUUCUCAACUCAGCCAUAUCUAGGACAAACAAGUGAUAGCAAUAAUUUAAAACAAGAACUGCAUGUACA